GUGAGAGCAACAGCUAUAAACUGUUGUGCUGCUUUCUGCCUCAGAGUCUGUCACAGCUUUAUCUAAGUUUUAGCUAUUUAAGUCUCAGCUACAUGCUUUGUAUUUAAUCUGCAACUGCAAGUAUACUGAGUAAAGGUUAUUGGCUCUUUAAACUUUAAAAAAGAGAGUUUUGCAUAGUUUUUAUAGGAGAAAAAAGAGAACUAAUUAAAGGAUCAAACGACCCAGGGCUGACUUUCGCACACUCUGCAAAUGUGAACUAGAGUCUAAUUCCCACAAGACGUGCAUCUGGCAACUUCACUAUGUAGCUUUCAGCAAAUACUGAAGAGGCAACUCCAGACUCUCCAAGUGUUCCUAUUAUCCAGGGAUGUCCCUGAUAAAUCCCAUAAUGUCCCACUUUUCCUUCAGAUGUCCCUACUUUCCUUGGAUAAAUGUUGUGUGGGGGGGUAUGGAGUUAUCUGACCCCGAGCCAUCUGAAGUCAGCCCUGUAUAGGGAAGUUUUUAAAUGUUUAAUGUAAUAUUAUGGUUUUAUAUAUGUUGAAAGCCACCCAGAAUGGCAACCCAGUGUGUUGGGUGGGAAAUAAAUAGUAAAAUUCUUCUUCUUCUUCUUCUUGAAUAGGGCGUCCCUAUUUUCAUCGGAGAAAGGUGGAAGGGAAUGAGUCACUGAGUCCUUGAAAGAAUGCUAAUAGAAGAACAAUUGGCCAUUUAGUAAUAAGGUUUAGUAAGAAAGAUCUUGAACACCAACAUGUGUAAACACGUCUGCACUAGUCAAAGUUCAUAUGGGAGACUGGAAAUCACAUAGGUAAUUUCUUCUUUUAAAAAGCCACUUCAUUUAGGAAUAACCGAGUAACUAAGACCAACAUUAUGGCUCAUUUUGUUUUAUCUUAGCAGCCAGUCGUUAGGCAAGUUCAAGGCAUUCUCCAUUACCUCUUGGGGGAGCAGAUUGCAUGGUUUAACUAUGCAGUUUGUGAAUAAUAGGUUAUUUUGCUUGUCUCAAAUUUUUCCACAUUUAGAAGAAGAAGAGAAGAGUUUGGAUUUGAUAUUCCACUUUAUCACUACCCGAAGGAGUCUCAAAGCUGCUAACAUUCUCCUUUCCCUUCCUCCCCCCAACAAACACUCUGUGAGGUGAGUGGGGCUGAGAGACUUCAGAGAAGUGUGACUGGCCCAAGGUCACCCAGCAGCUGCAUGUGGAGGAGCGGAGACACGAACCUGGUUCACCAGAUUAGGAGUCUACCACUCUUAACCACUACACCACACUGGCUCUGAUUUAGCUUCAUUGGAUUUCCCCAAGUUCUAGUAUUAGGAAAGAGGAGAAAAACUUUUCUCUAUCCAAUUUCACCACACCAUACAUAAUCUGGUACACCUAUAUAAUGUCACCUCUUGCUCACCUUUCUCAGAACUAAAAUGUUAUAACCUUUUCUCAUAGGCGAGUUGCUGUAUCCCAUGCUUUGUAUGUACAGAUGUUUCUCAUACAGUUUAUCAAAUCUUCAAAUAAUUACAGGCUGUCAAAUCAAUGCAGUUCUAAAACUAUUCAUUCAAAGCAUGUUUCAGUCAAAUAUAAAAAUGUAAAGAAUGAAAAAAAUAUAUUUAAAGACUAUUUACUUACUGUGGGUUGUCAAUCAAGGCUUCAGAGGGGUGUUUAUUAAAUAAAACAUUGGGAAAGACGUAGCGGAUAUGAGAUGCUAUGCCACCAAUGACAGGGUCACCUGGCUCAUACCACUCAUGUGGAAUAGGUACAGGAUUAGUUGUGGUAAAAUUAGCACUAUGCACUUGGCACACCAUGUUGGGGAAGAGCAAGAGAAGCAGCAGCAGCAAGGUUCUACACAUGGACUCUUCUUUGCCUCUCUACAAUAUCAUUAUUAUCAGCAGCAGCAGCCUGAUUUGAACAGCAUGGAUUUGGAGGCAGCAGACUCUGCCAGUUCAGUGCUUAAAGGGAUACGCAUGCAUCUUAUCAUUAAACCCUGUCACAAAGACCUGCCUUGAAUGGUAAAUAAGAUGAAGUGAUUUGAAAAUUUGCCGAUAUAAUCACAGUGCCUGGCUCUCUCUCCUGCAUUAUCCUAACUAUCUAUGGAACACUGGGG
This 2078-nucleotide long non-coding RNA is filed under the name Podarcis lilfordi (Lilford's wall lizard). Lineage: Eukaryota; Metazoa; Chordata; Lepidosauria; Squamata; Lacertidae. The record is from RNAcentral.